This 781-nucleotide ribosomal RNA is filed under the name uncultured bacterium. RNAcentral's name for it is "bacterial SSU rRNA". It matches the Rfam family "Bacterial small subunit ribosomal RNA", at positions 62 to 855 of the family's 1533-position model. The record is from RNAcentral.
UUGAGCGGAGAUAUAUGGAGCUUGCUUUAUAUAACUUAGCAGCGAACGGGUGAGUAACACGUAGAUAAUCUAUCCUAUACUGGGGAAUAGCCCGAUGAAAGUUGGAUUAAUACCGCAUAUAGCUAUAUAGUUGCAUGAUUAUGUAGUGAAAGAUUUAUUGGUAUAGGAGGAGUCUGCGGCACAUUAGCUAGUAGGUGAGGUAAAGGCUUACCUAGGCGACGAUGUGUAGCCGGUCUGAGAGGAUGAACGGCCACAAUGGAACUGAGACACGGUCCAUACUCCUACGGGAGGCAGCAGUGGGGAAUAUUGCACAAUGGGGGAAACCCUGAUGCAGCAACGCCGCGUGAGUGAAGAAGGUUUUCGGAUUGUAAAGCUCUGUUAGCAGGGAAGAGGAAGGACGGUACCUGCAGAGGAAGCCACGGCUAACUACGUGCCAGCAGCCGCGGUAAUACGUAGGUGGCAAGCGUUGUUCGGAAUAACUGGGCGUAAAGGAUGCGUAGGCGGUUAAACAAGUUAUAUGUUAAAUAUAUAGGCUUAACCUGUAGAAAGCAUAUAAAACUGUUUAACUAGAGUGCAGGAGAGGUAAGUGGAAUUCCUAGUGUAGCGGUGAAAUGCGUAGAGAUUAGGAAGAACACCAGUGGCGAAGGCGACUUACUGGACUGUAACUGACGCUGAGGCAUGAGAGCAUGGGGAGCAAACAGGAUUAGAUACCCUGGUAGUCCAUGCUGUAAACGAUGGGUACUAGGUGUGGGUUGUGAAUAAACAUUCGUGCCGUCGCAAA